Molecule: ribosomal RNA, 377 nt
Filed under: uncultured delta proteobacterium
Lineage: Bacteria; Deltaproteobacteria
Description: bacterial SSU rRNA
Rfam family: Bacterial small subunit ribosomal RNA
Source: RNAcentral
UAAUACGGGGGGUGCAAGCGUUAUUCGGAAUUAUUGGGCGUAAAGGGCGCGCAGGCGGCCUCUUAAGUCAGAUGUGAAAGCCCGGGGCUUAACCCCGGAAGUGCAUUUGAAACUAAGGGGCUUGAGUAUGGGAGAGGGAAGUGGAAUUCCUGGUGUAGCGGUGAAAUGCGUAGAUAUCAGGAGGAACACCGGUGGCGAAGGCGACUUCCUGGACCAAUACUGACGCUGAGGCGCGAAGGCUAGGGGAGCAAACGGGAUUAGACACCCCGGUAGUCCUAGCUGUAAACGAUGCAGACUUGGUGUUGGGAGUGUAAAAACUUUCAGUGCCGGAGCUAACGCGUUAAGUCUGCCGCCUGGGGACUACGACCGCAAGGUUA